GAUGAACGCUGACAGAAUGCUUAACACAUGCAAGUCAACUUGAAUUUGGGUUUUUAACUUAGGUUUGGGUGGCGGACGGGUGAGUAACGCGUAAAGAACUUGCCUCACAGCUAGGGACAACAUUUGGAAACGAAUGCUAAUACCUAAUAUUAUGAUAAUAGGGCAUCCUAUAAUUAUGAAAGCUAUAAGCGCUGUGAGAGAGCUUUGCGUCCCAUUAGCUAGUUGGAGAGGUAACGGCUCACCAAGGCGAUGAUGGGUAGCCGGCCUGAGAGGGUGAUCGGCCACAAGGGGACUGAGACACGGCCCUUACUCCUACGGGAGGCAGCAGUGGGGAAUAUUGGACAAUGGACCGAGAGUCUGAUCCAGCAAUUCUGUGUGCACGAUGAAGUUUUUCGGAAUGUAAAGUGCUUUCAGUUAGGAAGAAACAAAUGACGGUACCAACAGAAGAAGUGACGGCUAAAUACGUG
RNAcentral lists this ribosomal RNA (467 nucleotides) under uncultured bacterium. RNAcentral's name for it is "partial 16S ribosomal RNA". It matches the Rfam family "Bacterial small subunit ribosomal RNA", at positions 28 to 507 of the family's 1533-position model. The record is from RNAcentral.